Podarcis lilfordi (Lilford's wall lizard) is the source of this 69-nucleotide non-coding RNA. Lineage: Eukaryota; Metazoa; Chordata; Lepidosauria; Squamata; Lacertidae. The record is from the annotation of a GenBank genome assembly.
GGAUAGCUCACUCGGAAGAGCAUGAGACUCUUAAUCUCAGGGUUGUGAGUUAAAACCCCACCUUGGGCG